GUUCUGAAUGGCAUGACCGGUUCUGUAUCAGUUUGCAUUGUCAGUUUGUCAUUUUACAGUUCUUUCCUGAAAUCCCUGCGUGCAGGCUGACCUUGGUGACCAGCUCUCUGAGAACUAAAGUGUUUACCAUUUCUAGUCACUGAAUUUGAGUAUAAAACUCAAACCUGAUUUAGACAACACAUGAUUUUUGUCUGUGUGUUUUUGUGACUUUUUGUUUUGUCUGAGACAGUGUCUCACAUUGUAGCAUUGGCUGGCCUGGAACUUGCUACAUAAACCAGGCAGUCCUUGAACUCAAAGAGCCAUCUGUUUCUGUGCUACCACCCUGGGCUUGUUUUGUUUUUGUUAGGAUUUGGCCUCAAUCCUUUGAUCUAUCAGCCUGAGUUCUCAGUACUGGGACUAAAGGCAUAUGCCACCAUGGUUGGCUGAUGGCAGUUUUAUAGAUCGGAGUGGACAUGUCACAAGAAUGGCCAAAGCACAAUAAAUAUACUGACCUCUGUAGCCAGAAUGCCUGUAAACCCUUGAUGAUGUCUCUGUCACCUUCCUUCCAUCUAACACCUUGUAGUGCUUUUGUAUCCUUAAAUGUCCUCAGCAAAUCUGCCAAAGGCCAGUGUCAGGGUAUAAAAGUGACUAAAACCUGCUUUUCUUUCUUUUGAAACAAGACCUUGCUGUGGAUCCAUAGUGCCACACGGCCCAAGGCUGUAGGCUGGGUUACAGGCCUGUUACCACUGAGUCCAGUUUACAACCUAAUCUCCAAAAACCCGGUCCAUGUGGCACAUUAAGUUUCGUCACUUGAGUCUGUGCCACUGUUUAGCCACUGACUUAAUGGAUUGGUGGAUAUUGUGACUUUUAAAAUAUAUUCUAUUACUUUUAAAAUCAUGUGUGUGGGGCGGGGGGAGUGCAGGUGAAAGCAAGUGUUGGCAGAGGCCAGAGGCACGUGGGGCCCUGGAGCUGGGGGUACAAUGUGUUUUCAGUUGUCUGACAUGGUUGCUGGGAAUUGGAAAGACAGUAUGUGCUCUUAACUCCAGUCUCCCCCCUUUUUAAGGGAAGUUUAUUGUGUUCAGUUUCGGUCCCUUACAUGGGGUUGGGGGCUCAGGGUGGUGUGGCUCAUGGAUCCUGGGAGGCAGCCGUGUAUCUUGUUGCAGUCGUGGGUUACUGUUCCACUCUCAGUUAAGGCCUAAAGUCUGUCCUUCCCCAGGUGGUCUGGUGGUUUGAGUACAGCCUGCCCUCCCUGCGCAAACCCUUAGCAGUGCCCCUCAGCUCCCAAACUCAUAGUUACAACCUACACUGCGUCAUUUUACACAGACUUCAACUCUGGUGCCUUUAUUUUUUUCUGGUUAUUCCAUAUAAAAAUAUUCCUCAGUGACCAAGCCCUUGCCUAACAUGUGCAAGGCCUAGACUCUAUCCCCACCUGUUCUGCCCAUACAGAAAAAGCAAGUGGCCCAUUCAAGAGUUCUGAGAUCCAGGCUCUGGGCGAUUUAGUAAGAUGUGUGUCCAGGCUGGGGGUUGGACUGUGUGGCAUGAAGCCACUUGUACAUGGCCAGCAGUCACCACUGACAUAAGCUUCUAGAAGCAUGUUUAAGAGGUCUGAUUUCCACAGUCAUGUUUCCUCUUUAGUGCACUUAAUGCAGCUGGAUAUCACGGUGAAACAAGGACGGGAUAAAGUCCGAGAAAUGUUCAUGAAGAAUGCCCAUGUCACCGACCCCAGAGUGGUUGACCUCCUGGUCAUUAAGGUAACUGACCCUCUCUGACAGACUUAAAAGUUCUGCUGGCUUGUCCUGUGCCUCUGAGUUUUCAAGUAAAUUCUGCCUUGAUUAAAAGACAGCUGCUGUGUUUCCAGGUUCAACUUGGAGGCCCCUUUUUUCUUUUUAAAGCCAAGAUUUCACUAUGUAGUUCUGGCUGUCCUAGAAUUUGCACUGUAGACCAGGCUGGUCCUGAGAUCCACUGCCUCUGCCUCCCAGGUGCCAGGAUUAAAGGUGGCACCACUAUACCCCAUUGGAGGUCUCCACUUUUGAGGUGGUCUCAGUAUAUAGCCUGGGCUGGAACUAGACAUCCUCUUGCCUCAGCCCCCACGUAAGCUUGAGAUUACUGAAGGGGAGGUCUGGGGCAGGGGAGGGGGACACUGCAGCUUUAACAACGUAAAGUAGGAAGUGGGAGUUCCUAUGGGAUGCCACCCUGGGACACCUGGCUCACUGUCUGCAGCCACAAGAAGGCAGAGUGGUUCUGGACAUGGUAAUCUACGGUCAUUGGCAAGUCCAUGCCAAACACAACACAGAGCUGAACUUGAGUGAUGUGUUGUUCUUUUGGUGGCUGGAACUGACCACCUCUUCCUUCAUGUACACAGGGAAAGAUGGAGCUCCAGGAAACCAUUAAAGUGUGGAAGCAGCGGACACACAUUAUGCGGUUCUUCCAUGAAACAGAAACACCAAGGCCAAAAGAUUUCUUGUCCAAGUUCUAUAUUGGCCAUGACCCAUGAGGUCACCUGAUGGGAAGGUGCAUGUUAAUAUUUAAUUAUCUUAGAGUACAAAUAAACCCAUUAUUUGAUGGUCGUGAUAAAGUUGCACUGGUGAACCCUUUUCCUGUGGUCUCUCUUACUUCUUGCCUUGGUGUGGGGCCUUAGUGCCCAUGCUGUGAUUACUCCCUCUCCUGGAGAAGGUUGUUUGCUGCCGACUGAGUCAGACCCUUUUAUGGGAAAGCAGGAAAGGCUAUGUGGUUCUGUCCAGAUCUCCCACAGUGGACAGCUGGAGGGUUGUUACUGUGCUUGUACUUAUGUAUGAAGCUCCCAAGACUGGGCUUCUUGGCACCAAGGCUCUGGGAU
RNAcentral lists this long non-coding RNA (2815 nucleotides) under Rattus norvegicus (Norway rat). RNAcentral's name for it is "long non-coding RNA NONRATT027165". Lineage: Eukaryota; Metazoa; Chordata; Mammalia; Rodentia; Muridae. The record is from RNAcentral.